This 1393-nucleotide long non-coding RNA is filed under the name Oryctolagus cuniculus (rabbit). Its description in RNAcentral is "lncRNA (ENSOCUG00000039198.1)". The record is from RNAcentral. Lineage: Eukaryota; Metazoa; Chordata; Mammalia; Lagomorpha; Leporidae.
CACCUCUCAAAUAAAUAAAUAAAAUAUUAAAAAAAAUAUAUUAGCAGUGGUGGCAUUGCUAGUUGGCCUGUCGCUGGCUGAGAUGUCCACACUCCACAUCGGAGGUCCUGGAUGCAUUUCCUGCUCUGGCUCCUGACUCCAGCACACUGUUAAUGCAGCCCCGCCCCCCGGGGGAGGGGCAGCUGUGGCGGCUCAAGAAGUAGGGCUUCUGCCACCUCCAUGGGACACCUGGAUGAACUCCCGGCUCCUGGAUUUGGCCAAGCCUAAUCCCAUUCUGUUUACUAUGGGCAUUUGGGGAGUGUACAGGAGUGUGUAGUCUCUCUCUCCCUCUCUCUCUCUCUUCUCUCUUUCUUCUUCUUGUAUAAUAAUUUGUCUUUAAAAGCUGAAAAUGAAAAGCUACUGGGUACCUCCUGGGUCGGGUCUUUUGCACACGUGGGUGUAUUCCAUCCCGGCAGAACCUCUGAGGCCUUCGCCGAGACCCCCGCUCUCCAGGCGAGCAAAUGCAGGCUCAGAGGACGCGCCACCUGCCGCUGGGCAGCCCCGGACACCAGGCCAGCCCUGCUCCCUGUCCCGUCUCCAUCUGCCUUGUUGCGCCUGGGGCCUGUUUGGUUCUGGCCUGGCUUCUCAGCCUUGGCCUUGUCCGGUCCUGGCCCCGCCCCUCCCUGUCUGAACACAGCAAGGUGGGAUUUCCUCCAGGGACCUCGCAAUCAAGGCCGCCGGCUUGCCGGGCUGCAGCCCAAGGCCUGCUAUAAACUCUGCCAUGAAUGGCCGCCAUUCUCUGCCCCAACUCCAGCUCCAGCUCACCGCCGCCCCGCAGCCCGGGAAGGGAGACCUCAGCCUCCUCCAGGCCUGUAAACACCAGAGCCACACACACAGCGAGGCCACAGCCGCCAAUGAAUCCUGGCCCCAGGGUUCUCUUAAAGGAGCAGAGCCCAGUGGCGACAAGGGGCCAGGGCCUGCAUGGAGAGCAGCAGCGGGACUCACAACCCUCUCCCCAGGCUCCCAGCAGGAAGGAGGAUGAAGCCACGCCCACCCCAGGAGCGUCUCCAGGAGCACCAGAAAGAAGAGGAAAAAAAAUGCCACUUGGACUCAAAAAGACGUUGUUGCUGCCAAACACAUGAUUUUUGCACAUGGUGAGGACGUGUGAUUUUUACAUAUGUAUUUUUUUCCCUUUUAGUAAAAACAGUUUCAGUCCUGGCAAGAAGGUUAAAGAAAGGGAGUAUAAAAAGAUUGUCACAGAAAACCAUUACUCUGCUAUUACAGAGACCAAAAGCCAGGAGUUAUGAAAGGAGAGAGAGGAAAAAUGGUGACCAGAAUUUAAAGAACAAGAACUUGAUUUGGGGGCUGAUUUCCACGGGUCCAUUCUAAAGCAUUUCCAGUCUUCAAAAGUAUC